Molecule: long non-coding RNA, 337 nt
Filed under: Mytilus galloprovincialis (Mediterranean mussel)
Lineage: Eukaryota; Metazoa; Mollusca; Bivalvia; Mytilida; Mytilidae
Source: RNAcentral
AAUACAUACAAACUACUUAUUGGAGUAAUAUAACUAUGUUAAGGAGUUAGAAUAGCUUGAAUUUUUGAAAUUGAAGGUCUAUAGUAGGGGGUUCAAUAUACCGCAGGGGGGUCAAAUACCAUGGCUAAGUAAAAUUUUCAAAAUAUCUUUUCCAGUAUGUUUAAUACAUACAAACUACUUAUUGAAGUAUUAUAACUAUGUUAAGGAGUUAGAAUAGCUUGAAUUUUUGAAAUUCAAGGUCUAUAGUAGGGGGUUCAAUAUACGCAGGGGGGUCAAAAUACCAUGGCUAAGUAAAAUUUUCAAAAUAUCUUUUCCAGUAUAUUAAAUACAUACAAAC